RNAcentral lists this transfer RNA (59 nucleotides) under Versteria mustelae. RNAcentral's name for it is "tRNA-Ser". Lineage: Eukaryota; Metazoa; Platyhelminthes; Cestoda; Cyclophyllidea; Taeniidae. The record is from RNAcentral.
AGAGAAAUUGGUGAAGUUACUGCUAAUAAUUUUGUGUCAAUUGAUUUUGACUUUCUCUU